UGAAUAUUAAAAUUUGUGGAAUUGUUUUUUAGAUUGUUUAUUAAUUAUGUGAACAGAUUAUUAUUUGAAAUGUUCAUAUUAGUGUCUCAAAACUUUAUUAUACGUGUUUUACGAAAUUAAGGUUUUAGGUAAUAUAACGCUGAAAUUAUGGCAGAUGAUCCAAAUCGAGACCUUUUGCCUGUCAGAGAAGGUUCUUGUACGGAUACUUUUAGUAGUAUAGAUCCCAGGGAUCGGCAUUGCGUGAUUAAACUCGAUCGUUAUCAACUGGAGGAUAGAUAUUUGCGAUUACUCGAGGAAGCAAAUAACUUGAAGAAACUAACAAAUUGUCAGGAGGAUAAAAUUAAACGAUUGGCAACAAAGUUGAUGAGAGUAACAGCAAGUACAAGGCCAUGUUCGCUUGCUUUAAACAUUUAUGAAGAUAAAAAUAAAAUAAUCGCUCUUGAACUUGAAAAUUCAAAGCUCAAAGAUAAAAUCACAGUGUUGAAAAAUCAACUACUGAGUCAUACGAUAAGCAGUAGAUCAUCAUCAAAAACUCGCGUGAGGCCGUCAUCCGGACGCAUAACUUGUCGUAGUGAAAGCAGCCGUACCAAAAUAUGUUGCCACUGUUUAGACGAUGAUACGUCCAACGUGCAAAGUUAUCUUGAAAAAAUCGAGGAAUUGGAAACGCAGAAAAGUGAAAUGUGUACUCGGAUAAUUCAAUUAGAGAAAGAGGUGGCCACUUAUACUACUAUUUGCCAAAGGGAGAAAGUAGCGGACAAUGUCGAGUACAUAAAGAUUUGGCGAGAAAUGAAGCAAAUAAACGAUAAACUAUUAACAGCCGAAAACGAGAACGGGUCAUUGACCGCACAAAUCGACGAUCUGAAGAAGAAGCUCGACGAGAAAACGAAGAAGAACGAGAUUAUGGCAUCGGAGCUUUUAUUGGAGAAGAAACGGAUAGCGGAGAUCGACGAGCAAAUAUUGAAAACGAAAGAUUCUGAACUUUCGUUACGGGAAAAGAACGAGCAGAUAAAAGAUCUGUUAAAAGAGGUAAAGAUACUGCAGCAACACAACGAGGAGCUUAUAAUAUUGAACUCGAAAUAUACAAAAGUGGAGUUAGAGAACAAGGAAUUGAAGAAAAAAGUGAUCGAUCAACAACACGAUCAAGAGUGUUUGAAAACUGCCGUCGAUAACGAACAGGCUAAUAUCAUUGCGCUGCAAACCUCGAACGAACAAUUGUUGGGAAAACUCGAGGAAUUGCAGAAAAACAUAGAAAAUUUAACGAGUUAUCAAGCGGAGAAAGUGGAGUCUAAGGACGCCCAGAUAUCGAUAUGUUUCUCCGACAUGCAGAUAUCAACAUUGCCCACGAAACACGAUUUGAUGUGCAAAAAUCUCGAGGCCCAAAUAAAGUGCCGCAAGUGUUCCGAAUUAGAAUACGAAGAGUUAAACUCGGGGAAAAGGGAGAAAUGCAAGAAAUGUUGCGAACCGAUAGAGAACGAGGACUUGUACAAGAACAGGUUGUACAAUCCUCAUGCAAAGAUCAACGCAGUGGAGAAUAAAUCGAUGCAAACGGAGAUUGUAAAAACGACGGUUAUGGACGGGAAUGAUUACAACGAGAUCGUGGCAUCCAAGAAAGAGAUAUUGAUAAAAGAAGUAAUAAAUUCCGAGUCGCAAACCUUGUGCUCGGAAAGUGCUGUGAAACGCGCUAUGAUCACAGAUUCGCAGUGCUACAGUUUGAGCCCUGACAAAAUGUUGAAGUUUUUAGAGGAGGCGCAAAUAGGUAGAGGGGAACAAAUAAAACAGAGAAGCACGGCCACUGACAUUGAUUACGAUAUUUUGGAUCAAUAUCAGAGACAAAGUUCUACGGAUAAAAAAGCAAAGCAAGAAACUUUUGAACUCACACUUCAGCGUCAGAGUAGGAAAGACAAGAUAAUUCCUUUGGAAAAGCGAUCGGCAGAUCCGAAUAAAUUGAUAUCCGUACUGUUUAAUAUUCUUCAAGAGUAUUCCUUGACUUGCACCAUACCCAAGGAGGCGUCCACUCUCUAUCGUCCGGGGAAACGUCCAAAAUUUCCCAACAUCGAUAACGAGACCGUGAAAACACCGGUGUACAAUGACGAAGUGUCGAGCAUCUCCUCCUCAAAGAAAAUUUGUUGCAGCCCUUAUAAACAGGAGAAGAUAAAGAAAAAGAUUUCCAAUGCGAAGAAACGUCAUCGAAUCAAGAUGUUCAACAGUUGCACUUGUACCAAUCUGUUCAAGUGUGGUGGGAAAUGUAUUCAUUGCUGCAGUGGCUCGGUGAAAUCGUUGCAGAAUGAUGCUUCCCCAUACGGAUCUUGGAAUAAAAAUGAAAAAAAAAACGCGGAGAAUUCGAAGGACACGUCGACGAAUCUUCCGGCAUCGUUGCAGGAUUACGUCAAGCAUUUGGACAAAUACAAGGAAUUUAUAACCGAGAUGAACGAAAUUGCGGAGAGUGUGCAAGCCAUGGACCCGAUACAAAAUUUCUUGCAACGAGAACGUAAAUCCGAGUCGGAAACCCAUUGCAGCCUGGAAUGUCCCAAUAUCGAUUGCAUCGAUACCUCGAACAACGACUCGUUCCCGUUGGUGAUCGGGGAAGGUCAGGGACUUGUCGAGCUUCACAUCGUUUCCUUGCAACUUUCAACAUCCGCUAAGCAGAUACUUUUCCAAGAGAAGGAUCUUGGUAACGUGUCGUUGUACGUGAGUUGGAGCAUUUGGAAUCAAGAAACCGCCUAUACGCCCACCCUCAAGUGUCCCAAAUUGAACUUCAACUCAUCGUUCGUCUACCGAAUCCCUGAUCUCUUCUCCUUUUUCAACUACAUCCUUCUAGAAUUCGUGAUAUUUCAAGUGAACGUCUACCAGGAGGACAACAAAAGUUUUAUAGUGGCCAGGGGAAAGCUGUGCAUCAAGGAUAUAUUGGACUAUCCUCAGAACAAGCUCCACUACAUUGCCCCUGUGAACAGCGUGAUGCCGUGCACGGUCGGGAUGAAUUUUGGCCAAUUGUCCCUGUGGGUGAGGUUGAGCUGCGAUAUCGAGAAGGUGGAGGCUUUCAAAAAGAGGCGCGGGAUAGUGUCGGAUGUGGAGAAACCGAGGAAAGAAUUGGAAUCGAAAGUUGUUGUUCCGAAAGUUGUUGUUCCGAAAGUUGCUCUUCCGAAAGUUGUUUCGAAGGAAGAGGAAGUGGAAACGGAGCCGAAAAAAGUGACGGUUUCCGAGAAAGAGCCCGAAAUUCAUUACGAAUCAAAUGAUUCUGACGAGGUACAGUCGAUCGUCCUCGAACAGAUGCCCGAAUUGACCGUGAUGAAAGAGACCGAUGAGGAAAAUAAAGAUUCCAUAAAGGACUCUGUAAUCAACGACGUCCCCCUUAAAUGGAAAACCGAGUCGAACGAGGAAACGACGGAAGAAGAGGAAUUUGACGAAAGAUUUCUACGUAAAGAGAUGAAAUUGCCGCCGGGUUUUUUGAAAGAUCUAGAGAACGAUCUGGACGUGAACGAGGAGAAAUCAAACGACACGAUCAAGGACGUGGCCGACGUGCUAAUGCACGAAAAUUGGAACAAGUUUAAGGAACGGAGUCUUCGAGCUGCCAAGGAUUCCAUGAAAAUUCAAGAACCUACCAUCGAUGAAUCCGAUGAUGAUGAUAUCGAGAGGGAUACGAUAGCCAUCGAAAUCAUAAGCAUGAAUCUGCACCCGACAUCCUCUGUUAUGCAGAAUCCCGAUUACGAACUACUUUACGUCGAGUAUUGCUUCUUGGGUUAUUGCGGCGCUGACAUGGAAACGAUUUCGGUGAGGAAGCCAAUCUAUCCGAAUCAACCGUUCGAAUUUCAUUUUAAGAAACUGUUUCGAAUAAGCGAGGAUAAGUACUCGAUGCAAAGCGAUAUCUUACGUUCGAUGUUGGACAGUACCACUAAUCCAAAUAUAAGAUUCAUUGUCGUUUGCGAACCAAUCCCUGAAGAGACUGAUAUGAAAGAGUGUGUGGAAAUAGGAUACGCUAAUUUUAAUAUAAGAGAUUAUGCAUUAGGAGAGGCUAAAAAAUAUAACUUGCUUCCGAUCUAUGAUAUAGAGGAACACGAAGAAAUCGGUAUGUUAAAGUUGGUUCGUCGACAGAGAGGAACAAUUAUAGAGAAGCAAUUAUAUCAAAGUUAUCAAAAAUAAAGAAUUUUGAUCGAGCAAAUAUAUUAUCAUUGUUGAGAGAAACGAAAAAAUUGUUUUCCCGCGAGGGGGAGGGGAAAAAAAUAUAAAUAUAAAUUGGCGAAAGAAACAAGAUACAUACCGACAAACACGGCAAUAGAAUUGGUAUAAUUAUGGGUGGCGAUGAGGGUGAAUGGCAAGCCACGUUUGAAUGGGACGUGACCAGAGACGUUCCACGUUUCAUUCAACAAACUUUCUUGUAAACGGGAUGACGUGAAGUUGGAAAGUGUCACGACUAUAGUACGAUUCACGACCCUCAUAUCCAGUUUCACUCCGGCCUGAGUUGUUGACCAGGACCCUGACAAACGGCAAGGGAAAGGAUCAUAAGGACGGAGCAUUUCCAAAUAUAUAUUUUCGAUGCGAUAAACCGAUUUAUUUAUACACGCUGUAUCGAGGCUCUCUACAACCGAUCCCUGUCUUAAGUAGCGUCGGGAUCGAGGGAAAACGGGAUGCAAUGGGAGGUAACGGGACAUAUCUCGCCGGUCGUAAAAGUGCAUCGACAGCGGGGCGCGCGUAUUAAAACCAAGUGGAGUGCACAAAUAGACCUCGCAACGAUCCGUCGAAGUACCAUCGGCGCCGGACAGAAGACGGCUGUUAGCGGGAAAAAGGACGAGUGGGAAAUGGGUAGGCGAGACUGUCGCAGAAAUUAUGUGCGACGUGUAUGCACAAUGUAUAUAUCGAACGGUAGAGAAAAGGCUGGAGAUAGGCAUCGAUUAUUAUUAGAACCAGCCGAAAAGCAACGAACCGAUUCUGUCCGUCUGCUCGACGAACGAUUAUUGUCCAACUCUAUAACUCUAACCUCUUGAUUUUUUCGAAGAUCAUGCAAGAGGGACGAUUUGAUAUUUGUUUUAUUUUAAUAAUAAUAAGAAUAAAUCGAUUUUUGACGGCGACAA
Apis mellifera (honey bee) is the source of this 5066-nucleotide RNA transcript. RefSeq lists it as uncharacterized. The transcript is spliced from 21 exons. NCBI's taxonomy places the organism in Eukaryota, Metazoa, Arthropoda, Insecta, Hymenoptera, Apidae. The record is from RefSeq and is a predicted model, not a curated record.